Molecule: long non-coding RNA, 210 nt
Filed under: Elaeis guineensis (African oil palm)
Lineage: Eukaryota; Viridiplantae; Streptophyta; Magnoliopsida; Arecales; Arecaceae
Description: long non-coding RNA (EGUI_LNC022778)
Source: RNAcentral
UAAGAGUAAGAUACUAUCUGUCUUGUAGAAUGUGCAUCGCCUCUAGCAACAUGGACAUGACUAUAUGUGAAAAUUAACAAAAAAAAAAAAAUCAAUUGACACAUUAAAGAUCGAGAUAGAAAAUUUUAUUAGAAAAAAAAUGAAAAAAAUGGUGCUAGCUAGUAAGUGAAGCAAAUUAAACCAGAAGGUCAAGAAACUUGGAGGACGGCA